GGAAACCACUGCCGGAGUCUGGCAGCUUCCUCCCAGCUGCUUUCAAAAUUACAGGGUGGCUGUCACCAUCACCCUGAGGGUCUUUCACUGCCUUCCUAGGGAAGGACCCGAGCAGAUCUUGUUCGUAUGGGGCUGGUAAAGCAUCAGGUGGCUGCCUUCCUUCUCUUCGUCCUCACAGGUGUGGGCACUGGCCAACGAGUGGUGACUAUCCAAAAGGGACCACUUUAUCGAGUACUUGGCUCCCAUGUGACAUUGUGGUGCAAGGUGAGCGGCUACCAGGGCCCAGCAGAGCAGACUUUCCAGUGGUCCGCCUACUUGCACUCUGCCCCAGAGCGGGAGGUGCAGAUCGUCAGCACCGCCGACCCCUCCUUCCCCUACGCCAUCUACACCCAGCGGGUGCGCGCCCAGGAGAUCUAUGUGGAGCGGGUGCAGGGGGACGCGGUGCUGCUGCACAUCACGGAGCUGCAGGACCGAGAUGCUGGGGAGUACGAGUGCCACACGCCCAACACCGACGAGAGGUACUUUGGGAGCUACAGCGCCAAGACAAACCUGACAGUGAUUGCGGAUACCCUCUCAGUUUCCAUGGGGCCCCAGGACCUCACCCAUGUUGAGGGAGAUGCCAUGGAGCUCACCUGCGAGGUGUCCAGGUCCACUGCCCAGCACACACACCUCUCUGUUGGCUGGUACUGCCUCCGGGGAGAACAUCGGGCUGAGAUCCUCACCCUCUCCAAGGACUUUGUCGUAAUGCCAGGACCUGCUUAUGCACAGAGGUUUCUGGCAGGGAAUGUGCGGUUGGACAAGGUUGGGAGCACUUCGUACAAACUCUCCAUUGUGGCCGUGGAGCCCUCUGACCAAGGGCAGCUGUAUUGUGAGGCAGCUGAGUGGAUUGAGGAUCCUGAUGGAAUGUGGAAGGACAUUUCCCGCAAACAGUCAGAGAGGACAUCGCUGGUGGUCACUCCCCAGGACCAAGAUCUCUGUGUGAAUAUCGCUGCCACCAAGAAUGACCUUUCUGAAGGGGACACCCUGCGGCUCAGUUGCACGCUGGAAGCCCAGAGGAGUAACAGCAGGCACUUCCAGGUGGCUUGGCUCCUCAACAGCAUGGAAGUGGCCAGGAUUGACCCCCGUGGGUUGCUGAUUUGGAAGAAGGAAUAUGAGGAGAGAGCCAGCCUAGGGCAGCUCCAUGCAUUCAAACAAAGCAACGCAAUUUACAUUUUCACCAUCCAUGAGGUGGGGCUGGAGGACAGCGGGGCCUACCACUGUUCUGUUUUGGAGGUGAAGGCUCCUGGGAGCUUCCAGAGCAUCCAAACCAACCUGUCAUCAGUUCUCGGAAUCAAUGUGAAGCCUAUUAGUCUCGGACUGUAUGCCACACUGAGAAGCCGAACAGCCACCGUCAGUUACACACAGAGCUUCGAGCUUAUCUGCCAUGUGAACGCCAGCCGCCCAGUUGAGGAGCUGCUGCUGUCUGUGGAGUGGCUCUUCCAGCCCAAGCCACCCACCGAUGGCUACCAAGAGCUGGUGCGUGUCCUUCCUAAUGGCACCGUGUCCUGGGGACCGACACAGCCCCAAUUCCAGGGCAGAGCCCAGCUGAUGAAGGCAGGUGCUUUCUCUCGGCUGCACAUCCACAGUGCGAUGGCUGGCCAUGCAGGGACAUACCAGUGCAAAGUGGGAGUCUGGAGGACGCUUCGGGGGCAGUGCACUGCCUCCUUUACCUCCAACCCUGUGGGGAUAAAGGUUGUCCUACCAGAAAGCACGCUGCAGGUGACUACAAGGGAGAGCUCCAUGGAGGUGGCUGGCGGUGCUGAUGCAAGCAUCGAGUGCAGAAUGGAGUUCCCUCUGAACAGCUCUCAGCUGGCUAUCAGCUGGUACUACCUACCUCCUCCUCCAGCAGAUGCCACCCCCAUGCAGAUCGUACAGGCCAGCCACACUGGCCUGCUGGAGUACGGGGCUGAGUUUAGCUCCCCCACACAGAAGUCCCGGUUCCUGAGCCAAAGAAUGUCCAGCCAUGUGUUCCAGCUGCGGAUUCUCUCGGCCAGCCCUGGGGACCAGGGUCAGUACUGCUGUGCAGUAGAGGAAUGGCGCUGGCUGGAGGGUGGCUGGUAUGGCCUUGGAGAGCGGUGGUCAGAGAGAACCAGGCUGGUGCUCCGGCUGCCAGAGAGUGAGCUGCACCUGGAAAAGGCCAACAGCAGCAUCUUGGCCAGGCACGGCCAGGAGGUGACGCUGGGCUGCCUGCUGAAGAGCACGCUCCCGCCUGCCGCCCGCCUCUCGGCCACCUGGUUUCAAGGGAAGGAGAAUGGCCACGAGAGGCCCCUGCUCACCCUGAACCACGAUGGUGCCAUCGAGUUCCUGCAGGAGGGGCUGGUGAGGAGGCUGCAGCUCCGGAGGCCCACGGCUGGUGACCUCAGCCUGACACUGGGCAGUGUGCAAGAGGACGAUGCCGGGAUGUAUCACUGCCGGGUGCAGGAAUGGCAGCAGCGAGGCAACAAGGAUAAGUGGGAGCUGCAGACCUGGGCGCUCUCAGGGUACACGCAGCUCAUCACCACCCCACCAGAGACAACAGUUGCGUCUAGGAUCUGUUCAUCUCCACCGUUGCUGAACUUCAUCCUAUGCUUACCUCUGGUUCUGAUCCUUCUCCUGGCCCUUGCUGGCUUCUGCUGGUGCUUCAUCUCCAGGAAAAGAAAAAAGGGCACCAAAAGAGGAAACAAGCUGAUGGAACUGCAAGGGGCUGGGGGGAUCAAGCAAACUUAGCUGGCCCGUAAUGGGAGGUGUAACUUGAAGAAGAGGAACUGGACGUCUGAGAGGACCAAGACAAGAUGGGGGACAAACAAAGGAACCAAUCCUCUUGCAGAAGAAAGGAAGCACUGAGGAACUGGCCAGCAGAGGCAGCACUUCUGCCACCAAGGGCAAGGGCUGCUUGGGUAUCACAGAAUCACCAAGGUUAGAAAAGACCACUAAGAUCAUGUAGUCCAACCCUUGACCCAGCAUGGGAUGGCGUUGUCAUGAUUCUCCUGGUAAGAGGAAGGGGACUCUAGGAGGGACAGCUGGAGCCAGCACACCUGGGUAACAUAGGGACUGUCCCAGAAGGGACCCUAGGAGGAAUAUCUGCUGUGUCUCCUACUACUGCAGGGAAAUGCAGCAAAGACCAAGCACGAACUGCAAAGACCUGGAGGAAGGCUGGAGUCUGGAGUUGGGUCAGGUCUCCUUGAGUAUCCCCUGUGCAGCCAAAACCAGGUGAGCCCCAGGGUGAAAGGAUAGUGUCUGCAGGACUGGUGUAUAGUCAAAGGGUGCAGAGCCAUCCACCCUUGGAAUCCAGGAACAAAAUGCUGUUUGUAUGCUGAGGGUGGACAAAGCCAUCGUGACACUGGUCAGGAAGUUUCAUGCAAGAGGAACCUUGAGAUACACAACUUCCCUCAUCCCCUUCAUGCACCAGCUUCUCUUUUCUCAUGGGAAGUGCUGGGGCCAGGGGAGACCAUGUGGACUGAUUCUCCUGCCCUGUGAGUGUUUUGCCAGCUGCAAAAGCUGCAUGUAUGCAUGCUCCACAUGAGGCUCUGUCCAGCUGAGGGUUUGGAGUGUUUUCCUGAUUCUCAUGUAGAUACUGAUUACACCUAUUUCUGUAGAAUGCCACUUUUCAAAAUCCCCAUCCUCCACCUGUUUGAGUUGCAGAACUGAACCUCAGCAUCCAGAGUCUUCGUACGAAGCCAUCGCUCCCCUGCCUGUCUAUUUCUUAGCUCCCCAUGCAUCACAGCAGGGAGUCAAACAAGAGCCUUCCCUUUCUUGCUGCAACUCAGCACUUCUUCAGCCACAGUAAAACUGCAAGCUCUUUGCUCUUCUUGGCAAAAGCUUUGAGUUCCUAUGGCCCCAGCACUGCUUGUGGCCUGCUUAUCAGUAAGGAACCACCCAAGGCAUCAAGGGCACUUGUGGAGCUGCUGGCUCCUACGCUUUUCCAUAUAACCUUCAACCUCUCACCCACAGACAUGUGCUGCUGGGGGCUGCUGCUCCCAGGGCUGAGCACUGGCAGCCUCGUACGCUGCAAGGCGAAGCACGGCACAGCUAACCACUUCCAUGUGGGGCAGCCACAGCCACCCAGCUGCUCUUGCUGGUGACGUGACUUCCUGACGCUGCUCAGUGCUGUUGUUGUUUCCCCAGCCUGUUGCCAGGUGCUGCAGCAACACAUCACUGCAUUUAGUCACGUUUUGGAAGCAUUUUGGGGUGCUGGCGGCCUGUGGUUUGCUGUGCCAUAAGCACCACUAUCAUGAGAGACCUUGAGGACUCCUUGCACUGGGAGUGGGACUUGGGGCCAAAAAGGCUGCCAGAGCAUGUCUUAUUUCCCAGCAGACCUUGGCUGAACUCAGUCAGGCCAGGGAUUUUCACCCCAUUGUCUUGUGUUGGAUCUGAAUAAUUGUGCCAUGAAGAGGACACCAAGAAGGAGGGCCUCCAGCCUUUCACUUGGCGUGCACUACAGCAGCCAACCCUCUGCAGCUAACAGCACACCUUAUUUCCCAGCAGACCUCAUCUGGCUCUAGUUUUCAGGCCGCUGACUCUUCUUUUAGCUUUGUCCACUGAUAUGUUGAAGAGUCUUCUGAAGGUACUUGCUUGAAGCAUCUCUUUAAGAAGCAUCUGGACAAUGUCCUCAGACACGAUCUGUUUUUUGAGUGGUCCAUUGAGGAGCCAGGAGUUGGAAUUGAUGAUCCCUGUGAGUCUCUUCCAGCUUGAGAUAUUCAGUGAGGUUUGUUGGAGCAAUAUAGGCUCAGUUCUCCAUGCCCUUCUCUGAACAUGAUUUUUUACAAUCCUGGAAGAUCAAAAUCGGCUUAAACAGGCAAAAGCCUAGAGGUAUAAAAACAUUAAUUUCUCAAGUAACCCAUGCUGAGAGGUCUGCUUAAAUAUUUGAGAAUGGUUUGAAUCACCUGUACGUAACAAGGAACGAUUAAGGAAACUAAAGAUAUUUUUGAAUAUUUCCUUCACGUUCAUUUUCACUACAAAGUGGCUCUGGAGGUGCCUGCUCAGAUCUUCCUCCUGUCUUGACAAAGAUAAGAUAGCGUUAGAGAUUGAGGAGUUGGAAGAACACUUACAGAUCAUGUAACUGUCGGUAAGCUGCCACAUCAACACGGCAUUCAGCCAAGGGGUCACAGGGAUGGAAGUGCUGCCUCUCCAAAAGAACUAGUCCUCUCUCCUUCAAAAAAAGGAAAGGAGAAGGAAGGGGAGGGGAGGGGGAAACAAAACAAGAAGAGAGAGGAAAAAAAAGUAGUAUUUGUUAAAGAUGGUGUGUGUUGUGCUUGCAAUUUUAAAGGCUCUUGGAAUGACCUGGAGAAUUACAGGCCUGUUUGACACACAUGUAAAUGAAUGCCAUACCUACCAAAGUAGGAGAAUCAGCUGUGACACUUACUGCUGCUAAGGCUGCUCGAAGGUGCAACCUGCAGAGAUUCUGCAAAAGGAAACCAUGUUUGCUGAACUCUUGCAAGUCUUUGAACAGACCAGUGAAUUAGCUGAAGGACAAGACCUGUCUGACACCAUUUAUUUAGCUUUUGGAAGGCUUUUUGCAAAGGCAUGUUCAUGAGAGGACUGUUUCUACAGCUGGCAGUGUGGGAAGCAGCUUAUUGCUCUGCCUUGUGCCUGCUGGGAGGUUGGGUGAGGUGCUGGGCGGUGGUGGCACAGGGGAUGAGCACCCAUGAGGAGACCUCAUGGGAGAAGACAGAGGAGGAGAGAGGAUCCCUUGGUGACAGCUGUUCAGCCAGUAACUUCCAGGAGGACUGAACUCUUGCUGAGCCACCAAAGCACAUCUGAUCAAUAACUCAGCGUCCCAACUUGCACAUUAGCAGAGUCAAUUAUCAGCUCUGCUCUCUGCUUCCUUGAUUAUUAUUUCAGUAUGUAGCAGCUGCUUCACAAACGUUAUGGUCCAUCACACUCUGAAGGGACUGAGUUAAAUGCAGAUUAUUGACCGGUGAGGCCAUAAGAAGGUACUGUAAAAUAUACAGUCGUGUUCUCCCAUAAAUCCCCAGCGAGAGUGCUUUUCAAACAAAUUUCUCUUGCGGUGGGAGUGCUUUCUGUCAUCAUCAAGGCCCUGAAAAAUGCUUUUUCCACCUGAUUUGCGCCACCUCCUCUGCAACAUCAUUGUCUCUUUUGGCACUGCAUCUUCACAUAAACGUGCAGUCCUCCCUCUCUCAAGGUAUUUGUCAGGACUCCCAGGCUUCAGUAGGGAUGCUUGACUUACGGCUUGUUCUGUACACGGGCAGGGUGAUCUAUAUUUAAUCUCUGUUCUGGCCCCAGGCUUUCUGCUGGCCCUGAGUUUCUCAAGUUCCUGUUGCUUCAGGUUCCCUAAUUCUGGCUGACUGUGGGCUUUUUGUUGAGGCAGCCCAUGUUAUGUAGGGCAUGACUGGACACCAUUGUGAGCACUUUGAACAUCCAGAGAAGACUUCUUUCCUUCCUCUGCCUGCCUGACGUAUGGCUGGCUGUCACCCCUGUAGAAGGUGAUGCUUUUACAUGCUGGGGGCAAGCACAUCUAUGAUGGGUUUACAGAGACACUUCAGAGGGUAUUUUUGCUGUCUGGUGCUUCCUCAGCUUGCUUCCCAUCUCAAAUCUUUCUACCAGCAAUCCAAGUAUACACUGAGCCUAAGCAGAUAUAGUGGUGUUAUCUGCAACCUCCUGAAGCCUACUCUGCGUCUCUCUGGGUGGGGAGAGAAAAAACACGUGGACAGGACUGGGACAAGGGAGGCAUCAAACAUUUGAGUCAGAACUCUUGGAUUUAUCAUGGAUCCUUUUGCAGGUCUCCCCAGCAAAUCCACUGGAAGGUUUGCUGGCAUUGUUUGGGUGGGGGUGGCAUCUUCCACUGCAUUUUUUCAUAGAUAAGGCUAGCCAAAGUGAGAGAAACGUCUCAUGACUCUUAUCAGCUCUCACUGAGGUUACCCCUGGGUGGCUGACAUUUUGUCCUAGAAGUCUGUGGGGCUGUUGGUGGGAGGACCCAUUGCACGUGGCCAGGAGGAUGACACAGUCAUGCUGCGUGCUCGUGUCUCAACCCAGGAGCUUUUGAAGAGUGUGCAGGAAAGGGUCAACUUGAAGCAACCUUUGUCCCUUUGAAGGCCUGAGCUACAUAUAAAAGCCAGUGAGCUACUCUUUUUUUUUUCUUGCUUGCCACCAUUGUAGAAGUCUAGCCACCUUCGAGAUUCAUAACUGAAACUGCAACUCAUCUGGAGAUCCAGGUAGUAUCUCCAGCACUUGUUAUAUAUGCACUGGUGCUCAGCCUUCACUUUUCCUAGAAAUGUCAGGCUAUGCACAGUGGCAGUUCCGUGGUCUGAUAUCUACACAAGCUGCAAGCAACACAAGCCACACUAUACCAACAUAAGCUGUUCAUGUGAUGCUUCCGUCCUGCAGCUGCUUUCAGAAUGGCUUGCUUUCUCUUAGAGCCUUGUUCAUCUUUACAUCUCCCUACAGUCACGCACUUCUCGUAGGACAACCUAUGGCUUAUGUCCCCCAGUUAAAGCUGAUGAGUGUAUCCCAGUUCAACACCACUUUAUAUGCUGGUCUUUGGGUUUGGUUCCAGAAUGUGUCUCACUACUCUCCUCAUACAUGCCCUUGCCUUCUGCCUGGGACAACAACCUGAACGUCAAGGCAGUGCGCAGUUAGAUGUGAUUACGCUGGCUCUUUGAGGGAUAUGGGCUAUGCUCCCACAGCCCAAACGGUGUCCUUUGAUGUCUGAGGGAUGUGAGAAGCCUUCAGCUCUUGGAGAGGAGGAGGCUGACACAGAAUACAAACAAGGUUUGCUCAAACGUGGAGUUGUUUGCCCAGCCCUGCAGUGCAGCAGCAGUGCGAUGCUCACUGCAACUCCUACGUGUGCUGGAGAAAAGCUGCCAGGGGAAGCACAUCUUCAUGCAGCUUGUCCUCAGCACCCUGCCCUCACUGUUCCAGGGGUGAGAGAGGCUGCUGCCCUAUAGCUGGUAGUGCAAAGGGAGCACUGCCCCUGCCCAUUGGUGCAGAGGAGAUCUUCUUGCUAGCUUAGCUGUCAUCUGCUUUGAAACUUUCCCUCCUGUGGUGCUCCUCUGCUGAAAUUCGACAUGGAAAUGAUCCUGAUUUAUUCUGGAAUAAUAGGAUGAAAUGGUGCAAAGGAAAAUUUCAGAGUGAGGAGUGAGAUAAACAGUCAGUCAGGAGAGAAAGAAGAGGGGACCUCCAUUGCUCUGCUCCCUGUGGGAACAGAUAUCACGCUGGAAAGUUUGGUGCUGGGAGUGAUGUGCUGCUGGAUGGAAUAGGAUGAGAGAGAAUGGCCUAUGUUACACUAGGGGAGGUUCAGUUUGAAGAUCGGGAACGAAUGUCUUCCCAGAAGAGCAAUGAGGCAUUGGCACAGGCUGCCCAAGGAGGUGGUGCAGUCACUGUCCCUGGAGGUGCUCAAGAACUG
Molecule: non-coding RNA, 8380 nt
Organism: Meleagris gallopavo (turkey)
Lineage: Eukaryota; Metazoa; Chordata; Aves; Galliformes; Phasianidae
Source: RefSeq, a predicted model, not a curated record